GGUCAGCUGACACAUCCCUGCCAAUCUCCGGCAGACCCUCCCUCCCAGUCCCUCCUACUUCCUGGACAGCAUCCAUGUUGAAGGCAGCUUCAACAUGGAUGCUGUCCAGGAGGUGGGAGGGUCUGGGAGGGAGGGUCUGCCGGAGAUUGGCAGGGAUGUGUCAGCUG
Non-coding RNA from Pelobates cultripes (western spadefoot toad), 167 nucleotides. NCBI's taxonomy places the organism in Eukaryota, Metazoa, Chordata, Amphibia, Anura, Pelobatidae. The record is from the annotation of a GenBank genome assembly.